Molecule: ribosomal RNA, 500 nt
Filed under: uncultured bacterium
Lineage: Bacteria
Description: partial 16S ribosomal RNA
Rfam family: Bacterial small subunit ribosomal RNA
Source: RNAcentral
AUUGAACGCUGGCGGCAUGCCUUACACAUGCAAGUCGAACGGAUUCAAGAGGCUUGCUUCUUGAGUUAGUGGCGAACGGGUGAGUAAAGCAUCGGAACGUACCCAGUUGUGGGGGAUAACGUAGCGAAAGUUACGCUAAUACCGCAUACGCACUGAGGUGGAAAGCGGGGGACCGAAAGGCCUCGCGCAAUUGGAGCGGCCGAUGUCGGAUUAGCUAGUUGGUGAGGUAAAGGCUCACCAAGGCGACGAUCCGUAGCUGGUCUGAGAGGACGCACAGCCACACUGGAACUGAGACACGGUCCAGACUCCUACGGGAGGCAGCAGUGGGGAAUUUUGGACAAUGGGCGAAAGCCUGAUCCAGCCAUGCCGCGUGAGUGAAGAAGGCCUUCGGGUUGUAAAGCUCUUUCAGACGGAAAGAAAUCUUUCGGGUGAAUAUCCCGGAAGGAUGACGGUACCGUAAGAAGAAGCACCGGCUAACUACGUGCCAGCCGCCGCCGUAA